Xiphophorus maculatus (southern platyfish) is the source of this 997-nucleotide long non-coding RNA. RefSeq lists it as uncharacterized. The transcript has 5 exons. Lineage: Eukaryota; Metazoa; Chordata; Actinopteri; Cyprinodontiformes; Poeciliidae. The record is from RefSeq and is a predicted model, not a curated record.
CUUGUUUGAUCUAACUAUUUUAAAUUGUGACCAUAGCCAAACAUGUUUAUUUAAAAAUUGUACCACUAGACUGCUGCUAGGCCUCUGAUGUGCCAACACUAUCAGUAAUCCAUGCUGCGCCUUGCAAGUGUUUUUUUGUGCUUGCUUCCCCAACAUAUCCAUAAUGCACACUACAUCUUUGCCUCAACGUAAACUUCUGAACUACUUGACUCUAAUCUAUUCCCAGCCUUAACAUAGCAGAUUGUCCUCCAUGAAAGGUCCCCAUUCCCAGCUGUCCAGAGUCCUUGUAUCUCUGACUUCUGUGAUCACAAGGGGAGAUGUGAAGCACCUUGUCUCUCUUAAUUUUGCAAUCUAUGACAACUGUGGUUUCAGAUGAAGUUUCUAUUGUUAGAAUGCUUGUUAUGUUCUGAUGGUUACUUGAGGAGGUGUUGAAUAUGUGUCCCUGCCUCCAUAUGCCCUUCUGCUGUCUUGCCCAUCUCCUUGACUCCACUUCGGUAAUAAACUUGUCUGUGACUGCAGCAUCACUGCAUAAGCUCAGGUUUGAAAUCUACUAAAGAUUAAAGAAGUACCUUGGUGCUUGGGACUCAACGUUGCUUCAGAAAUAAAAGUGAGAACAGACCGAUACCAUGAAGCAGCAUGCAUCAGAGGACUGGGACAUCCUUCAUACCAGCAUCCCACUAACAGACUAUGGGCUUCUGAGUGGACUCAACCUGAAUUCUGAAUGUGUUCAGAUGAGGAAAAGAACCAACAUAUCAUGAAAUUAUGGAAAGAUCUUACAGGUGGACAAUUCGUUACCUGAUGAUUUGCCUUCACCAAGUAAGCUCCUGUACUGUGACACAACUGGGCCUUUUCUGGCACUGAAGAUGCGUGCUCCUCUGAGAAAAAAAAGUUUAAUUAAGUAAUACUAAGCAAACCUCUGCUUGAAGUCUCCAUAGAGGAUCCUGUUAGGGAAGCCUUUCCUACAGAUCCUGAUGCCUUCCAGGACACCGUUACAGCG